CCUAGUGGCGUACGGGUGAGUAACACGUGGGUGACCUGCCCUCAAGUGGGGGAUAACUCUGGGAAGCUGGGGCUAAUCCCGCAUGUGCUGCGGUUUUCGUUGAUCGUAGUAAAGGAGCCUUUUGGUUUCGCUUGGGGAUGGGCCCGCGGCCUAUCAGCUUGUUGGUGUGGUAAUGGCCUACCAAGGCGACGACGGGUAGCCGGCCUGAGAGGGUGACCGGCCACACUGGGACUGAGACACGGCCCAGACUCCUACGGGAGGCAGCAGUGGGGAAUAUUGCACAAUGGGCGAAAGCCUGAUGCAGCGACGCCGCGUGAGGGAUGACGGCCUUCGGGUCGUAAACCUCUUUCAGUAGGGAAGAAGCCUUCGGGUGACGGUACCUGCAGAAGAAGCGCCGGCUAACUACGUGCCAGCAGCCGCGGUAAUACGUAGGGCGCAAGCGUUGUCCGGAAUUAUUGGGCGUAAAGAGCUCGUAGGCGGUUUGUCGCGUCUGCUGUGAAAACGCAAGGCUUAACCUUGCGCCUGCAGUGGGUACGGGCAGACUAGAGUGCAGUAGGGGAGACUGGAAUUCCUGGUGUAGCGGUGGAAUGCGCAGAUAUCAGGAGGAACACCGAUGGCGAAGGCAGGUCUCUGGGCUGUUACUGACGCUGAGGAGCGAAAGCAUGGGGAGCGAACAGGAUUAGAUACCCUGGUAGUCCAUGCCGUAAACGUUGGGCACUAAGUAGAGGGGUU
RNAcentral lists this ribosomal RNA (732 nucleotides) under uncultured Planctomycetota bacterium. RNAcentral describes it as "bacterial SSU rRNA". It matches the Rfam family "Bacterial small subunit ribosomal RNA", at positions 91 to 830 of the family's 1533-position model. The record is from RNAcentral. Lineage: Bacteria; Pseudomonadati; Planctomycetota.